CUGAAAAGAAAAGAAAACGAAGAAAUACUUCUGGAUCCAAAGGUUCGUUCACUGGAUCAGCCUUAAGAAAGUCUCUAUGUGUGCUAAUAGACCAGUAUCUCCCUUGUUGAUUCCCACGCCAGAUGCUGUCUUUUCAUACAGAGAUUAACUAGGGUCUGUACAGAAAAUGGUCUUUCCAGACCCAUUCUUUUGGGCAGGAAUGUAAAUGCAGAUUGAUAAUGGAGUUAUUUCUGCAUUUUAAAAAGGGGAUUUUUUUUUUUUACAUUGUUUUUUUUCUAUCCAAAGACACUUUUUCCUUAAAAAAAAAUUAUAAUACAGCCAUGCUCCUUGUAAAUUACUUCUCAAAAGCAUCCUCUCUGAGGACAAAUGUACUUUUUCAAUAAUGUUAUGACUCUUACGAUUGGCAGGACCAUCCUUGAAGCAUUUGUUUCGUAGUCCACUUCUCACUGUUUAAUUACAGAGGAACUUUGAGUCAUUUUGAACAUCAGGUGACUGAUGAAUUGCAUGGUUUUAGUUGUGUGUUUUUUGUUUUUUUUUUUAACUUUACAGGUGAAAGGGGCGGACAAUGCUUAUAUGGAAUUGUUUGCGACAUUUAAAACUCUUGAAAUUUUUCUAAAUGUUAAUUCACACACUCUAAUUAAGCCAGAAAUGUAUGUACCUUAACUAAAAUAUCUGUGCAGUUUAACUAGAAAUGUAUAUAUGUAGUAUGGGCCAUUUUUAUUUUUGUGUUUAAAUUGUGUGACCAAAACUGUGAUUUGGCAAUGUAAAGAUGUUUUUGUUCCCUAGGUUACUGACCAAGAAACUGGUUAAUGUAAGAAGUAAGCAGACAAAAAGGAUAGUAAGAAGGGAAGCUAUUACAGUGAUAAACUUUAGGCCUAAAAUUUAGGUAAUAAAGCAAAUGUCUUAGAAUAUUGUCUGGAAUGGAUAAAAUUCAGGAAAAUUUAACCCUUUACUGAGACAGAAAAAUGAGUUUUCCA
This 977-nucleotide long non-coding RNA is filed under the name Bos taurus (domestic cattle). Its description in RNAcentral is "long non-coding RNA NONBTAT024125". The record is from RNAcentral. Lineage: Eukaryota; Metazoa; Chordata; Mammalia; Artiodactyla; Bovidae.